GGUUAAGCGACUAAGCGUACACGGUGGAUGCCCUGGCAGUCAGAGGCGAUGAAGGACGUGCUAAUCUGCGAUAAGCGUCGGUAAGGUGAUAUGAACCGUUAUAACCGGCGAUUUCCGAAUGGGGAAACCCAGUGUGAUUCGUCACACUAUCAUUAACUGAAUCCAUAGGUUAAUGAGGCGAACCGGGGGAACUGAAACAUCUAAGUACCCCGAGGAAAAGAAAUCAACCGAGAUUCCCCCAGUAGCGGCGAGCGAACGGGGAGGAGCCCAGAGCCUGAAUCAGUGUGUGUGUUAGUGGAAGCGUCUGGAAAGGCGCGCGAUACAGGGUGACAGCCCCGUACACAAAAAUGCACAUGCUGUGAGCUCGAUGAGUAGGGCGGGACACGUGGUAUCCUGUCUGAAUAUGGGGGGACCAUCCUCCAAGGCUAAAUACUCCUGACUGACCGAUAGUGAACCAGUACCGUGAGGGAAAGGCGAAAAGAACCCCGGCGAGGGGAGUGAAAAAGAACCUGAAACCGUGUACGUACAAGCAGUGGGAGCACGCUUAGGCGUGUGACUGCGUACCUUUUGUAUAAUGGGUCAGCGACUUAUAUUCUGUAGCAAGGUUAACCGAAUAGGGGAGCCGAAGGGAAACCGAGUCUUAACUGGGCGUUAAGUUGCAGGGUAUAGACCCGAAACCCGGUGAUCUAGCCAUGGGCAGGUUGAAGGUUGGGUAACACUAACUGGAGGACCGAACCGACUAAUGUUGAAAAAUUAGCGGAUGACUUGUGGCUGGGGGUGAAAGGCCAAUCAAACCGGGAGAUAGCUGGUUCUCCCCGAAAGCUAUUUAGGUAGCGCCUCGUGAAUUCAUCUCCGGGGGUAGAGCACUGUUUCGGCAAGGGGGUCAUCCCGACUUACCAACCCGAUGCAAACUGCGAAUACCGGAGAAUGUUAUCACGGGAGACACACGGCGGGUGCUAACGUCCGUCGUGAAGAGGGAAACAACCCAGACCGCCAGCUAAGGUCCCAAAGUCAUGGUUAAGUGGGAAACGAUGUGGGAAGGCCCAGACAGCCAGGAUGUUGGCUUAGAAGCAGCCAUCAUUUAAAGAAAGCGUAAUAGCUCACUGGUCGAGUCGGCCUGCGCGGAAGAUGUAACGGGGCUAAACCAUGCACCGAAGCUGCGGCAGCGACGCUGAUGCGUUGUUGGGUAGGGGAGCGUUCUGUAAGCCUGCGAAGGUGUGCUGUGAGGCAUGCUGGAGGUAUCAGAAGUGCGAAUGCUGACAUAAGUAACGAUAAAGCGGGUGAAAAGCCCGCUCGCCGGAAGACCAAGGGUUCCUGUCCAACGUUAAUCGGGGCAGGGUGAGUCGACCCCUAAGGCGAGGCCGAAAGGCGUAGUCGAUGGGAAACAGGUUAAUAUUCCUGUACUUGGUGUUACUGCGAAGGGGGGACGGAGAAGGCUAUGUUGGCCGGGCGACGGUUGUCCCGGUUUAAGCGUGUAGGCUGGUUUUCCAGGCAAAUCCGGAAAAUCAAGGCUGAGGCGUGAUGACGAGGCACUACGGUGCUGAAGCAACAAAUGCCCUGCUUCCAGGAAAAGCCUCUAAGCAUCAGGUAACAUCAAAUCGUACCCCAAACCGACACAGGUGGUCAGGUAGAGAAUACCAAGGCGCUUGAGAGAACUCGGGUGAAGGAACUAGGCAAAAUGGUGCCGUAACUUCGGGAGAAGG
RNAcentral lists this ribosomal RNA (1703 nucleotides) under Escherichia coli. RNAcentral describes it as "partial 23S ribosomal RNA". It matches the Rfam family "Bacterial large subunit ribosomal RNA", at positions 1 to 1746 of the family's 2925-position model. Lineage: Bacteria; Pseudomonadati; Pseudomonadota; Gammaproteobacteria; Enterobacterales; Enterobacteriaceae. The record is from RNAcentral.